AACGAACGCUGGCGGCAUGCCUAACACAUGCAAGUCGAACGAGACCUUCGGGUCUAGUGGCGCACGGGUGCGUAACGCGUGGGAACCUGCCUUUAGGUUCGGAAUAACAGAUAGAAAUGACUGCUAAUGCCGAAUAAUGUCUUCGGACCAAAGAUUUAUCGCCUUUAAGAUGGGCCCGCGUUGGAUUAGCUAGUUGGUGAGGUAAAGGCUCACCAAGGCGACGAUCCAUAGCUGGUCUUAGAGGAUGAUCAGCCACACUGGGACUGAGACACGGCCCAGACUCCUACGGGAGGCAGCAGUGGGGAAUAUUGGACAAUGGGCGAAAGCCUGAUCCAGCAAUGCCGCGUGAGUGAUGAAGGCCUUAGGGUUGUAAAGCUCUUUUACCAGGGAUGAUAAUGACAGUACCUGGAGAAUAAGCUCCGGCUAACUCCGUG
Molecule: ribosomal RNA, 434 nt
Filed under: uncultured bacterium
Lineage: Bacteria
Description: bacterial SSU rRNA
Rfam family: Bacterial small subunit ribosomal RNA
Source: RNAcentral